AUGGCUCAGAUUGAACGCUGGCGGCAGGCCUAACACAUGCAAGUCGAACGGUAACAGGAAGAAGCUUGCUCUUGCUGACGAGUGGCGGACGGGUGAGUAAUGUCUGGGAAACUGCCUGAUGGAGGGGGAUAACUACUGGAAACGGUAGCUAAUACCGCAUAACGUCGCAAGACCAAAGAGGGGGACCUUCGGGCCUCUUGCCAUCGGAUGUGCCCAGAUGGGAUUAGCUUGUUGGUGGGGUAACGGCUCACCAAGGCGACGAUCCCUAGCUGGUCUGAGAGGAUGACCAGCCACACUGGAACUGAGACACGGUCCAGACUCCUACGGGAGGCAGCAGUGGGGAAUAUUGCACAAUGGGCGCAAGCCUGAUGCAGCCAUGCCGCCGUGUAUGAAGAAGGCCUUCGGGUUGUAAAGUACUUUCAGCGGGGAGGAAGGGUGUAAAGUUAAUACCUUUGCUCAUUGACGUUACCCGCAGAAGAAGCACCGGCUAACUCCGUGCCAGCAGCGGC
This 509-nucleotide ribosomal RNA is filed under the name uncultured bacterium. RNAcentral describes it as "bacterial SSU rRNA". It matches the Rfam family "Bacterial small subunit ribosomal RNA", at positions 19 to 518 of the family's 1533-position model. The record is from RNAcentral.